This 443-nucleotide ribosomal RNA is filed under the name Cutibacterium acnes. RNAcentral's name for it is "bacterial SSU rRNA". It matches the Rfam family "Bacterial small subunit ribosomal RNA", at positions 28 to 477 of the family's 1533-position model. The record is from RNAcentral. Lineage: Bacteria; Bacillati; Actinomycetota; Actinomycetes; Propionibacteriales; Propionibacteriaceae.
GACGAACGCUGGCGGCGUGCUUAACACAUGCAAGUCGAACGGAAAGGCCCUGCUUUUGUGGGGUGCUCGAGUGGCGAACGGGUGAGUAACACGUGAGUAACCUGCCCUUGACUUUGGGAUAACUUCAGGAAACUGGGGCUAAUACCGGAUAGGAGCUCCUGCUGCAUGGUGGGGGCUGGAAAGUUUCGGCGGUUGGGGAUGGACUCGCGGCUUAUCAGCUUGUUGGUGGGGUAGUGGCUUACCAAGGCUUUGACGGGUAGCCGGCCUGAGAGGGUGACCGGCCACAUUGGGACUGAGAUACGGCCCAGACUCCUACGGGAGGCAGCAGUGGGGAAUAUUGCACAAUGGGCGGAAGCCUGAUGCAGCAACGCCGCGUGCGGGAUGACGGCCUUCGGGUUGUAAACCGCUUUCGCCUGUGACGAAGCGUGAGUGACGUAAUGGUA